CCUCGCCUACCGACCCCACCGCGGCCCCGGAGUCACAGGCGCGCCUCCCUGUCGCUGCCUCCAGGGACUCUCCCGGGCGAGACCCGCGCGCUCCCGGCCUGGAGGAAAUCGCGGUGGGAACAAACUGACUUAUAAAUGGAGGAGCUUUGGUGCCUACCCCACAGGUGGAUGUGAGGAUUAAAUGAGAUCACCUAUAAGGAAGAUCGCAUCCCUGGACACAAGGAAAGUGAGGAUGGUAUGGUCGAUUGGAAAGUGCCCGCCCCCCUCAAGAUAUGUCGACAGCCUAAUCCCUGGAACCUGUGAAUGAGACCUUGUUUGGAAAAAGGACUUUGCAGAUGUGAUUAAGUUGGAGAUCCUGAGAUGAGGCGCUCAUCCUGGAUUAUCCAGGCAGGCCCUAAACACCAUCACAGGUGUCCUUUACAGGAGGGAUGCAGAUGGAGAUUAGGCAGAUGCACAGAGGAGACGCGAUGCAAAGAUGGAGGGAUGCAGCCACAAGCCAAGGAGCGCAGAGAAGUGCCAGCAGCUACCAGAAGCUAG
Molecule: long non-coding RNA, 537 nt
Organism: Delphinapterus leucas (beluga whale)
Lineage: Eukaryota; Metazoa; Chordata; Mammalia; Artiodactyla; Monodontidae
Source: RefSeq, a predicted model, not a curated record